CCCUUAGAUGUCCUGGGCCGCACGCGCGUUACACUGAUGCAUUCAACGAGCUUAUAACCUUGGCCGAGGGGCCCGGGCAAUCUUGUUAACGUGCAUCGUGAUAGGGAUAGAUUAUUGAAAUUAUUAAUCUUGAACGAGGAAUUCCUAGUAAACGCAGAUCAUCAAUCUGCAUUGAUUACGUCCCUGCCCUUUGUACACACCGCCCGUCGCACCUACCGAUUGGAUGGUCCGGUGAAGCCUCGGGAUUGUGGUUCUUGCCGCUUUAUUGUGGCGUGACCGCGAGAACUUGUCUAAACCUUAUCAUCUAGAGGAAGGUGAAGUCGUAACA
Molecule: ribosomal RNA, 328 nt
Filed under: uncultured eukaryote
Lineage: Eukaryota
Description: partial 18S ribosomal RNA
Rfam family: Eukaryotic small subunit ribosomal RNA
Source: RNAcentral